This 497-nucleotide ribosomal RNA is filed under the name uncultured bacterium. RNAcentral's name for it is "partial 16S ribosomal RNA". It matches the Rfam family "Bacterial small subunit ribosomal RNA", at positions 28 to 507 of the family's 1533-position model. The record is from RNAcentral.
GAUGAACGCUGGCGGCGUGCCUAAUACAUGCAAGUCGAGCGAACAGACGAGGACUUUGUUCCUCUGAUGUUUGCGGCGGACGGGUGAAACACACAUGGAUCCCCCCUCUAUACGACGGGGAUAACUUCGAAAAGCUGGAGCUAACCCCGGAAAAUAUAUUGUACCGCAUGGUUCACUAGAAAAAUACGGUUUUGUUGUCACUUAUAGAUCGUUCCGCGCCGUAUUAGCUAGUUGGUAAGGUAACUGCUUACGACGGCAACGAUGCGUGGCCGACCUGAGAGGGGGAUGGGCCACAUGGGAACUGGAACACGGUCAAGACUCCUACGGGAGGCAGCAGAAGGGAACCUUCGGCAAGGGGGGAAAGCUUGACGAGGCAACCCGGCGGGAGUGAUGAGGGUUUCGGGUUCGUAAGACCCUGUUAUUAGGGAGAAACAGAUUUGGAAUGAAAUGUGCACGUCUUGACGGUACCUAAUCAGAAAGCCACGGCUAACUACGUG